ACUACAAAAAAAUGACUAUAUUGUAUCACUUAAAUUGUAUCACAAAUUUAAGUGAUCUUAUUUUAAAUUACUUUUUAAUAAGUGAAGCAAAUAUAAAUAAUUUAACAUUAAUUACAUUACUGAUGCUAAUAUUAACUAAUUUUCAUCAAUUAUUUAAAACUGAUUCAAUUUCUAGUAGAUUGUAUCACUUUAAAAGAAAUUGAUGUAAAAUACAUAUUUAAAUCAUUUAAAUCCCCACACAUCAAAGAUCUCAACUUCAAAAAUC
RNAcentral lists this long non-coding RNA (265 nucleotides) under Capsella grandiflora. RNAcentral's name for it is "long non-coding RNA (CGRA_LNC000308)". Lineage: Eukaryota; Viridiplantae; Streptophyta; Magnoliopsida; Brassicales; Brassicaceae. The record is from RNAcentral.